RNAcentral lists this long non-coding RNA (233 nucleotides) under Hordeum vulgare. RNAcentral's name for it is "long non-coding RNA (HVUL_LNC008916)". The record is from RNAcentral. Lineage: Eukaryota; Viridiplantae; Streptophyta; Magnoliopsida; Poales; Poaceae.
UCGGCAUGAAUAGGUUUGGAAGAGGAGGAUCAUAUUUGAAUGGGAUGCAUUUGAUGUCAGAGGAAGAGAUGUCUCGUAUUCACUGUUGACGAGGAGUGGGUUGGUGGUGUGGCAGCUCAGGAGUACAUUUUCAUUUUCACUCAGGGCACAUUAUAAUUUAGUUAUAACAUUGAUUUCAUGUAUCAUGUAAAUUGUAAUUAUGGAUCUUAAUUUAGUUAUAACAUCGAUUUCAC